CGGUGCGAGUCGGGAAGGCGGCGGGCGGGUGCGGCCUUCGGCGGCGGAGGGCGCCAUGGUGGGUGGCGAGGCGGCCGCCGCGGUGGAGGAGCUAGUUUCGGGGGUGCGGCAGGCGGCCGACUUCGCGGAGCAGUUCCGCUCCUACUCGGAGAGCGAGAAGCAAUGGAAGGCUCGCAUGGAAUUCAUUCUGCGCCACUUGCCCGACUACCGCGACCCGCCCGAUGGCGGCGGCCGCCUGGACCAGCUGCUGUCCCUCUCCAUGGUGUGGGCCAACCACCUCUUCCUGGGUUGCAGUUACAACAAAGACCUUUUAGACAAAGUGAUGGAAAUGGCUGAUGGAAUUGAAGUGGAAGACCUGCCACAGUUUACUACCAGGAGUGAAUUAAUGAAAAAGUGUCAGCCUCCAGAGAAGAGUCCUCAGGCACAAACCUGGUAUCCCUGAAAGCAGCUCUGCCAUCAGACUAGUCACACUCACCUAGCUACCUGGAAGAAGCCUGCGGGGAGCCUCUACUUCUAGAGCACUUGCGGAUUGUGUGUGUUCCGGCUUCCUUUCAAUAAAACCAUCAAAGCUGAGGCAGAAGAUUCAUCACAUUUUCCAGCAUCAGCUACAGGCUUAGGAAGGAGGCUGGGAUGAAUGUGACAUGGACCACAGCAGCUCUCUUAAGAUUCCUGGUAUUUCCAACAUGUAGGAAAGAGGCAGUUGGAAUGACAAUCUUGUCUAGUUUGGAGUUUUAAAAGGUCUCAUUCUUCCAGUAGCUAUCAUUGUAAAAGUGUGCAUGGAUAUUUAUGUAUUUAUAAAUCAUGCCCUCUUUUUUUAUUUUCACUUUUUGAAUGUCAAACUUUUUGUUAAAAAUGCUUUUUUUUUUUUUUUUAUGUUGUUGUAAUAAUUGCCGGUAGUGAAUUUUACAAUUUGGACUUUUCAAUAAUGUAUUUUCAAGUCUGAUUCUGUUUUAUGGUCUUUUCCCCUCCCCGCACUGAGGCAAACCAGCCUUAUUUCUUUUUUUUUAAGAUUUUAUUUAUUUGAGAGAAAGAGAGCAUGAGAAGGGGGGAGGGGCACAGGGAGAGGGAUAAGCAGACUCCCUGCUAAGCAGGGAGCCCGACUCAGGGCUUGAUCCCAGGACCUUGAGAUCAUGACUCGAGCCGAAGGCAUACACUUCACCGACUGAGCCACCUAGGCGCCCUUAUUUCCUUAUUUCUUUCUGAAGUUUAUGCCGUCUUUAUGGCCACUGCCACACACACUCAUCUUUUUUUAAGAGAUGAGUGAGAAUCAAAUCAUAGGCCUCAGGUACCUACCAGCUCAUGGGAAGAGGUGGCUUGUGAAAGGGCAUCUGGCCUUAUUUUAAAAUGGACACCAGAUGCCACAGCUUGAUCCAGGCAGCCUAGUUGAUUUAUAGAUUUUCUAGAAGGUCUCCUAGAUAGCUGAGUAAAGCCCACAUUCUCUUUUUCUGCAGGGAUUCUGAGGGUUUUGGUCUUCUAGACUUAAGGAUUGCUUUGCCCAUAGCCCCCGAAGAAAUAUUUGUGUAAUGCAAUGCUGUUUUGCUCUGAAA
RNA transcript from Mirounga angustirostris (Northern elephant seal), 1547 nucleotides. It is a transcript of the gene named CDKN2A interacting protein N-terminal like, with no coding region annotated. The record is from RefSeq and is a predicted model, not a curated record. Lineage: Eukaryota; Metazoa; Chordata; Mammalia; Carnivora; Phocidae. The transcript has 4 exons.